AGAGUUUGAUCCUGGCUCAGAAUCAACGCUGGCGGCGCGCCUAACACAUGCAAGUCGAACGAGAAAGCGGGGCAACUCGCAAGUAAAGUGGCGUACGGGUGAGUAACACGUGGGUAAUCUACCCUUUGGUGGGGAAUAACCCUGGGAAACCGGGGAUAAUACCGCAUAAUCCCGAGAGGGAAAAGGAGAAAUCCGCCGAAGGAGGAGCCCGCGGCCGAUUAGCUAGUUGGUAGGGUAAGAGCCUACCAAGGCAAAGAUCGGUAGCCGGCCUGAGAGGGCACACGGCCACACUGGCACUGAAACACGGGCCAGACUCCUACGGGAGGCAGCAGUGGGGAAUCUUGCAUAAUGGGGGAAACCCUGAUGCAGCGACGCCGCGUGAGCGAUGAAGCCCUUCGGGGUGUAAAGCUCUUUCGGCAGGGAAGAUUAUGACGGUACCUGCAUAAGCAGCUGCGGCUAACUACGUGCCAGCAGCCGCGGUAAUACGUAGGCAGCAAGCGUUGUUCGGAAUUACUGGGCGUAAAGGGUGCGUAGGCGGUUUCGCAAGUUUGGUGUGAAAUCUCCCGGCUUAACUGGGAGGGUGCGCCGAAAACUGCGAAGCUAGAGUGCGGGAGAGGAGAGUGGAAUUCCUGGUGUAGCAGUGAAAUGCGUAGAUAUCUGGAGGAACACCCAUGGCGAAGGCAGCCUUCUGGGGCAUUCCUGACACUGAGAAGCGAAAGCUAGGGGAGCAAACAGGAUUAGAAACCCUGGUAGUCCUAGCUGUAAACGAUGAAUGCUAGGUGUUGGCGGCUUUAACCCCG
RNAcentral lists this ribosomal RNA (800 nucleotides) under uncultured bacterium. RNAcentral's name for it is "bacterial SSU rRNA". It matches the Rfam family "Bacterial small subunit ribosomal RNA", at positions 8 to 839 of the family's 1533-position model. The record is from RNAcentral.